This 458-nucleotide ribosomal RNA is filed under the name uncultured bacterium. RNAcentral's name for it is "bacterial SSU rRNA". It matches the Rfam family "Bacterial small subunit ribosomal RNA", at positions 8 to 452 of the family's 1533-position model. The record is from RNAcentral.
AGAGUUUGAUCAUGGCUCAGAAUGAACGCUGGCGGCGUGCCUAACACAUGCAAGUCGAGCGAGAAAUCACACUUCGGUGUGAGAGUAGAGCGGCGCACGGGUGAGUAACGCGUGGAUAAUCUACCCAUGGAUUGGGGAUAACCCUGCGAAAGCGGGGCUAAUACCUGAUAGUCUGGUCAUUAUAUAGAUGAUCGGUAAAGGUGGCCUCUGAUACAAGCUACUGUCCGUGGAUGAGUCCGCGUCUCAUUAGCUGGUUGGUGGGGUAAUGGCCUACCAAGGCGACGAUGAGUAGCUGGUCUGAGAGGAUGAUCAGCCACACUGGGACUGGAACACGGCCCAGACUCCUACGGGAGGCAGCAGUGGGGAAUAUUGGGCAAUGGGCGCAAGCCUGACCCAGCAACGCCGUGUGAGGGAAGAAGGUUUUCGGAUCGUAAACCUCUGUCAGAAGGGAAGAAGUG